Molecule: ribosomal RNA, 253 nt
Filed under: uncultured bacterium
Lineage: Bacteria
Description: partial 16S ribosomal RNA
Rfam family: Bacterial small subunit ribosomal RNA
Source: RNAcentral
UACGUAGGGAGCGAGCGUUGUCCGGAUUUACUGGGUGUAAAGGGUGCGUAGGCGGCUAUGCAAGUCAGUAGUGAAAUCCAUGGGCUUAACCCAUGAACUGCUAUUGAAACUGCACAGCUUGAGUGAAGUAGAGGUAGGCGGAAUUCCCGGUGUAGCGGUGAAAUGCGUAGAGAUCGGGAGGAACACCAGUGGCGAAGGCGGCCUACUGGGCUUUAACUGACGCUGAGGCACGAAAGCGUGGGUAGCAAACGGG